ACAAUACUCCCUCCAUCCCAAAAAGCUUGUCUUAGAUUUGUCUAUAUACGGAUGUAUCCAGACACGUUUUAGUGUUAGAUUCAUCCGUAUCUACAUACGGAUGUAUCCAGACACGUUUUAGUGUUAGAUUCAUCCGAAUCUACAUAAAUCUAAGACAAGCUUUUUGGGACGGAGGUAAUAUUAU
Triticum aestivum (bread wheat) is the source of this 184-nucleotide non-coding RNA. The record is from Rfam. NCBI's taxonomy places the organism in Eukaryota, Viridiplantae, Streptophyta, Magnoliopsida, Poales, Poaceae.